This 72-nucleotide transfer RNA is filed under the name Planctomycetota bacterium. RNAcentral describes it as "Planctomycetes bacterium tRNA-Gln". It matches the Rfam family "tRNA". From Rfam's summary of the family: Transfer RNA (tRNA) molecules are approximately 80 nucleotides in length. Lineage: Bacteria; Pseudomonadati; Planctomycetota. The record is from RNAcentral. RNAcentral also lists the same sequence under 1 other name.
UACCCGGUGGUGUAAUUGGUAACACAUAGGCUUUUGGUGCCUACAUUCCAGGUUCAAGUCCUGGCCGGGUAG